UCUUUGUUGGUAUAUUGGUCAGUGCAUGCGCUUGUCACGCGCGAAAGCUGGGUUCGAUUCCCAGACAAAGAG
RNAcentral lists this transfer RNA (72 nucleotides) under Laccaria bicolor S238N-H82. RNAcentral's name for it is "tRNA-Asp (GTC) (tRNA-Asp-GTC-7-1)". It matches the Rfam family "tRNA". From Rfam's summary of the family: Transfer RNA (tRNA) molecules are approximately 80 nucleotides in length. Their secondary structure includes four short double-helical elements and three loops (D, anti-codon, and T loops). Further hydrogen bonds mediate the characteristic L-shaped molecular structure. tRNAs have two regions of fundamental functional importance: the anti-codon, which is responsible for specific mRNA codon recognition, and the 3' end, to which the tRNAs corresponding amino acid is attached (by aminoacyl-tRNA synthetases). tRNAs cope with the degeneracy of the genetic code in two manners: having more than one tRNA (with a specific anti-codon) for a particular amino acid; and 'wobble' base-pairing, i.e. permitting non-standard base-pairing at the 3rd anti-codon position. The record is from RNAcentral. Lineage: Eukaryota; Fungi; Basidiomycota; Agaricomycetes; Agaricales; Hydnangiaceae.